This 165-nucleotide ribosomal RNA is filed under the name Zeugites smilacifolia. RNAcentral's name for it is "5.8S ribosomal RNA". It matches the Rfam family "5.8S ribosomal RNA". Rfam says of the family: 5.8S ribosomal RNA (5.8S rRNA) is a component of the large subunit of the eukaryotic ribosome. It is transcribed by RNA polymerase I as part of the 45S precursor that also contains 18S and 28S rRNA. The record is from RNAcentral. Lineage: Eukaryota; Viridiplantae; Streptophyta; Magnoliopsida; Poales; Poaceae.
GAAACGACUCUCGGCAACGGAUAUCUCGGCUCUCGCAUCGAUGAAGAGCGUAGCAAAAUGCGAUACCUGGUGUGAAUUGCAGAAUCCCGCGAACCAUCGAGUUUUUGAACGCAAGUUGCGCCCGAGGUCUUCUGGCCGAGGGCACGCCUGCCUGGGCGUCACGCC